AAGUCGUAACAAGGUUUCCGUAGGUGAACCUGCGGAAGGAUCAUUAAUAAAUGGCGAAAGCUUUCUAUUAUCCAUAACACCUGUGAACUAUUUGCCUUCGGGCACCAAACCAAACAUAAUGUAAUGAAUGUAAUCUACUAUAAUAAAUAUAACUUUCAACAACGGAUCUCUUGGCUCUCACAUCGAUGAAGAACGCAGCGAAAUGCGAUAAGUAAUGUGAAUUGCAGAAUUCAGUGAAUCAUCGAAUCUUUGAACGCACAUUGCGCCCCCUGGUAUUCCGGGGGGCAUGCCUGUUCGAGCGUCAUUUCACCACUCAAGCCUCGCUUGGUAUUGGGCAACGCGGUCCGCCGCGUGCCUCAAAUCGUCCGGCUGGGUCUUCUGUCCCCUAAGCGUUGUGGAAACUAUUCGCUAAAGGGUGUUCGGGAGGCUACGCCGUAAAACAACCCCAUUUCUAAGGUUGACCUCGGAUCAGGUAGGGAUACCCGCUGAACUUAA
Molecule: ribosomal RNA, 495 nt
Filed under: uncultured fungus
Lineage: Eukaryota; Fungi
Description: eukaryotic LSU rRNA
Rfam family: 5.8S ribosomal RNA (bases 151-304)
Source: RNAcentral